Molecule: ribosomal RNA, 445 nt
Filed under: uncultured bacterium
Lineage: Bacteria
Description: partial 16S ribosomal RNA
Rfam family: Bacterial small subunit ribosomal RNA
Source: RNAcentral
GUGAGGAAUAUUGGUCAAUGGGCGAGAGCCUGAACCAGCCAAGUCGCGUGAAGGAAGAAGGAUCUAUGGUUCGUAAACUUCUUUUGCAGGGGAAUAAAGUGCGGGACGUGUCCUGUUUUGUAUGUACCCUGAGAAUAAGGAUCGGCUAACUCCGUGCCAGCAGCCGCGGUAAUACGGAGGAUCCAAGCGUUAUCCGGAUUUAUUGGGUUUAAAGGGUGCGCAGGCGGGUUGAUAAGUCAGCGGUGAAAGUUUGCAGCUUAACUGUAAAAUUGCCGUUGAAACUGUCGAUCUUGAGUGCAAAUGAGGUAAGCGGAAUGUGUUGUGUAGCGGUGAAAUGCUUAGAUAUAACACAGAACACCGAUUGCGAAGGCAGCUUACUGGGAUGCAACUGACGCUCAUGCACGAAAGCGUGGGGAUCAAACAGGAUUAGAUACCCCUGUAGUCC